RNAcentral lists this ribosomal RNA (471 nucleotides) under Salmonella enterica subsp. enterica. RNAcentral's name for it is "bacterial SSU rRNA". It matches the Rfam family "Bacterial small subunit ribosomal RNA", at positions 1 to 468 of the family's 1533-position model. Lineage: Bacteria; Pseudomonadati; Pseudomonadota; Gammaproteobacteria; Enterobacterales; Enterobacteriaceae. The record is from RNAcentral.
AAAUUGAAGAGUUUGAUCAUGGCUCAGAUUGAACGCUGGCGGCAGGCCUAACACAUGCAAGUCGAACGGUAACAGGAAGCAGCUUGCUGCUUUGCUGACGAGUGGCGGACGGGUGAGUAAUGUCUGGGAAACUGCCUGAUGGAGGGGGAUAACUACUGGAAACGGUGGCUAAUACCGCAUAACGUCGCAAGACCAAAGAGGGGGACCUUCGGGCCUCUUGCCAUCAGAUGUGCCCAGAUGGGAUUAGCUUGUUGGUGAGGUAACGGCUCACCAAGGCGACGAUCCCUAGCUGUUCUGAGAGGAUGACCAGCCACACUGGAACUGAGACACGGUCCAGACUCCUACGGGAGGCAGCAGUGGGGAAUAUUGCACAAUGGGCGCAAGCCUGAUGCAGCCAUGCCGCGUGUAUGAAGAAGGCCUUCGGGUUGUAAAGUACUUUCAGCGGGGAGGAAGGUGUUGUGGUUAAUAACC